UACGUAGGGGGCAAGCGUUGUCCGGAAUUAUUGGGCGUAAAGCGCGUGUAGGCGGCUCGGUAAGUCUGCUGUGAAAGUCCAGGGCUCAACCCUGGAAUGCCGGUGGAUACUGUCGAGCUCGAGUCCGGAAGAGGCGAGUGGAAUUCCUGGUGUAGCGGUGAAAUGCGCAGAUAUCAGGAGGAACACCAAUGGCGAAGGCAGCUCGCUGGGCAUUAACUGACGCUGAGGAGCGAAAGCAUGGGGAGCGAACAGG
RNAcentral lists this ribosomal RNA (253 nucleotides) under uncultured bacterium. RNAcentral's name for it is "partial 16S ribosomal RNA". It matches the Rfam family "Bacterial small subunit ribosomal RNA", at positions 524 to 776 of the family's 1533-position model. The record is from RNAcentral.